AUUGAACGCUGGCGGAAUGCUUUACACAUGCAAGUCGAACGGCAGCACGGGGCAACCUGGUGGCGAGUGGCGAACGGGUGAGUAAUACAUCGGAACGUGCCCAAUCGUGGGGGAUAACGUAGCGAAAGUUACGCUAAUACCGCAUACGAUCUACGGAUGAAAGCGGGGGAUCGCAAGACCUCGCGCGAAUGGAGCGGCCGAUGUCAGAUUAGGUAGUUGGUGGGGGUAAAGGCUCACCAAGCCAACGAUCUGUAGCUGGUCUGAGAGGACGACCAGCCACACUGGAACUGAGACACGGUCCAGACUCCUACGGGAGGCAGCAGUGGGGAAUUUUGGACAAUGGGCGCAAGCCUGAUCCAGCCAUUCCGCGUGCAGGAUG
Molecule: ribosomal RNA, 379 nt
Filed under: uncultured bacterium
Lineage: Bacteria
Description: bacterial SSU rRNA
Rfam family: Bacterial small subunit ribosomal RNA
Source: RNAcentral